GCCAGACUCCUACGGGAGGCAGCAGUGGGGAUAUUGCACAAUGGGGGGAACCCUGAUGCAGCGACGCCGCGUGGGUGAAGGAGUAUUUCGGUAUGUAAAGCCCUAUCGGCAGGGAAGAAGCAAGACGGUACCUGACUAAGAAGCCCCGGCUAACUACGUGCCAGCAGCCGCGGUAAUACGUAGGGGGCAAGCGUUAUCCGGAUUUACUGGGUGUAAAGGGAGCGUAGACGGCUGUGCAAGUCAGAAGUGAAAGCCCGGGGCUCAACCCCGGGACUGCUCUGGAAACUGUAAAGCUGGAGUGCGGGAGGGGCAGGCGGAAUUCCUGGUGUAGCGGUGAAAUGCGUAGAUAUCAGGAGGAACACCGGCGGCGAAGGCGGCCUGCUGGACCGUAACUGACGUUGAGGCUCGAAAGCGUGGGGAGCAAACAGGAUUAGAUACCCCUGUAC
RNAcentral lists this ribosomal RNA (446 nucleotides) under uncultured bacterium. Its description in RNAcentral is "bacterial SSU rRNA". It matches the Rfam family "Bacterial small subunit ribosomal RNA", at positions 330 to 793 of the family's 1533-position model. The record is from RNAcentral.